This 253-nucleotide ribosomal RNA is filed under the name uncultured bacterium. RNAcentral describes it as "partial 16S ribosomal RNA". It matches the Rfam family "Bacterial small subunit ribosomal RNA", at positions 524 to 776 of the family's 1533-position model. The record is from RNAcentral.
UACAGAGGGUGCAAACGUUGCUCGGAAUUACUGGGCGUAAAGCGCGUGUAGGCGGUUUUAUAAGUCCGACGUGAAAGCCCAGGGCUCAACCCUGGAAGUGCGUUGGAUACUGUGAAGCUGGAGUCCUGAAGAGGAGAGCGGAAUUCCCGGUGUAGAGGUGAAAUUCGUAGAUAUCGGGAGGAACACCUGUGGCGAAGGCGGCUCUCUGGGCAGGUACUGACGCUGAGACGCGAAAGCGUGGGGAGCAAACAGG